Molecule: unclassified non-coding RNA, 148 nt
Organism: Pongo abelii (Sumatran orangutan)
Lineage: Eukaryota; Metazoa; Chordata; Mammalia; Primates; Hominidae
Rfam family: Metazoan signal recognition particle RNA
About the family: The signal recognition particle (SRP) is a universally conserved ribonucleoprotein. It is involved in the co-translational targeting of proteins to membranes.
Source: Ensembl
GCUGGGCAUGGUGGUGCAUGCCUGUAAUCCCAGCUACUUGGGAGGCUGAGGCAGGAGAAUUGCUUGAACCUGGGAGGGGAAGGUUGCAGUGAGCUGAGAUGGCACCACUGCAUUUCAGCCUGGGUGACAGAGCAAGACUCUGUCUCAA